RNAcentral lists this small RNA (118 nucleotides) under Salmonella enterica subsp. enterica serovar Liverpool. RNAcentral's name for it is "RtT RNA". It matches the Rfam family "RtT RNA". From Rfam's summary of the family: This family represents a bacterial cis-regulatory element known as RtT RNA. The exact function of RtT is unknown although it is thought that it may be involved in changing the cellular response in relation to amino acid starvation. The record is from RNAcentral. Lineage: Bacteria; Pseudomonadati; Pseudomonadota; Gammaproteobacteria; Enterobacterales; Enterobacteriaceae.
UGUAUCUGAAGCCUGACGAGGAUGAGAACCUCCGGGGGUAAGAGGUUCGACUCGAGCGAAGCGAGAGAACGUUGCGCCAGCAACGGCCCGCAGGGCGAGCCAUCCUCUAUCACCGGCA